This 796-nucleotide small RNA is filed under the name Rattus norvegicus (Norway rat). RNAcentral describes it as "uncharacterized LOC102549543". The record is from RNAcentral. Lineage: Eukaryota; Metazoa; Chordata; Mammalia; Rodentia; Muridae.
CUUCCAGGUUAUGGGAACUAGAAUGCUCACGUUCCUGAAGUAAAAUCUUCUCCCGGUGGCUUCAAACAGCUUGGAGUGCCAAUGAACGAUACGUAGGAAGCGGGUGUUCUCCUCCUGUUGCUGCAUCUCUUGGCCUGGGUAAGAUUCUAACCACCCUUGGAAAAGGCGGGCAAGGGAGCGAGGUCAAUCAAAAUGGCUGCGCUCCCUCUUUUGUGCCAUUUUGACAAACAAGCAAGAGCCCUCUCUUUUGUUUUUAUGAGGUGGGGCUGAUGUGGAUACAGAUGCUAACCAGCAUUGUGAGGAACAGCAAGGAAUCCAAAGCACCCCCAGCAGCAGAGAGCACGGGAAGAUAAUUCAUGAUUUUCUGCACCAGAAAGCACCCCGGAACGCCCAAGACACUUAGCCUGUACAGAGGACGGAGUGCGAGAAGCAGAGUUGCUGGGGACGCAAGGAGGAAGCACAUAUGCUGAAAAUGAAGAAGAAAAGACAGUCCUGCGAGUGCACAGAGGUGGCCUGCUCAGGGCUCAGAGAAUGGAGGAUAGCUAAGCUCCUUGGAUUUGUUCUGUUUGCUUUGACCGAGCACAUCCUGAGAGCUACUGUGCUGUGCACAGAGAACCGUUCUCGAACGACAGUCUUCUCGCUUUCUUUAUCUUAUAUUUUUAAGCCCUCAGUCACAAACUUUUAAGGUUUGGUAUAUUGUUAUAUUUGAUGUUAACUUUGUCAUUAAUAAGCACACUAUACUUAGAGAAGAGAGAACUCAAAAUAAAUGUAGUAAACAUUUCUUAUUAACAUCAAA